Passer montanus (Eurasian tree sparrow) is the source of this 1295-nucleotide long non-coding RNA. RefSeq lists it as uncharacterized. The record is from RefSeq and is a predicted model, not a curated record. The transcript is spliced from 4 exons. Lineage: Eukaryota; Metazoa; Chordata; Aves; Passeriformes; Passeridae.
UGGAUAAUGCGGGAUAACAGAGAGAGAGAAAAAGUGGUGGGCAUCAUCUGAAGCAAUCUACUGUGUCCCUUCAUGGCAUGCCUCCUCUGAAUGAAUCAGGAGGUCGUGGUGACUCUUGUAGAGAUGGUCACUGCUGGAGCUGGAGGAGAUGAUGGAUUUGAAGGGAAAGUCUGUGGCUGUUUCCAGAAAUGAGCAAGAGGUGCAGCAUGAGCCCUGUGACAAGGACAGCCCAGGCUGCUGUGUGGAUGAGGAGGGGGAAGGUGCUACACACACCAGGGAGGCUGGCAAAGGAGAAAGGCACAGUGGAGUCAAGGAAACCUGAUGUUGUUUUCAGUUUACCAACAUCUCUUUGGAAAACAGACCCAUCUCACUGUAGAAAUGUUCUGGAAACAAACUGAAACAAUUCCUUCUACCCCCAACAAGAGCAAUCAAGUGCCAGAGCUGUAUUUUACAAUUUCCUUGGAUAAUAUUUGGACAUAAAUGAUACCUGGCAAUUGUAUGCUCAUUGACAUUUUAUUUUUAACAUUUCAAUGAUUAAGCCGGACUCAUAGACGUGUAGUUUUUAAUUUUAAGAAAAAGGCUUUCCCAUGACAAUGGAGUGCAUAGUUUCAAGAUGAAAUUCAGCCUAGGAAAGACCUAUGGACUGGCACAAAAAGCGUGAAAUACCACAUGAGCUCUGCUAAUAAGUCAGUAGAGUUGUAAGAAGUCAAUGCAGUAUCAGCUGAUACCUGGGAGAAGAAAAGUACAAACCUGUGUCUCUCUGCAGAGCAUUUCCAGCACACCAUCAGCCUGUGAACGACGCUGGCAUGGCAGCCCUGAUAGCGAUGAAGAGACUCCUGGUGUGCAUCAAUCAACCCAGAGAAGAGAGACCAAAAUAGCUGAUUACUGGGUCUGUAAUGUCUUAUCCUCAGAACAAAACCAAAUUUUCAGUUAGCUUUUAGAAUGGCUUGUUUUCCUCAUCCAUCUGCAUGCCCAGCUAAAAUCUUCCAGGAAGUGAUCUUUGUUUCAACAGUAGGUAUGUCAGGUACAGGUAUUUUAAGGAGGAGGUAGUUUAAGCCAAGGGCUGCAUAUUUCAAUGCUUUCCUAACCCCCAGUUGAAAACCCAUAUGCCACUAAGUGGUUUAUAACUUGAGAGUCAGCCACCACUAUUUUUUUAAAUGUUCUAUAAUGUUUAUAAUGUCAGCCAGUCCCUGUUGCUAACCUUUUUUUUCUUUUACUUUCUUUACUUUUUUUUUUUUUUUUUUGAGGUAACCCUUUUACCUUCUUUUUCCCUGCUCAGACCCAUUAGCAGGAUG